UUCGGUUGUUGUUUAGUGGCGGAAGGGUUAGUAAUACAUAGAUAAUCUGUCCUCAACUUGGGAAUAACGGUUGGAAACGACCGCUAAUACCGAAUGUGGUAUGUUUAGGCAUCUAAAACAUAUUAAAGAAGGGGAUCUUCGGACCUUUCGGUUGAGGGAGAGUCUAUGGGAUAUCAGCUUGUUGGUGGGGUAAUGGCCUACCAAGGCUUUGACGUCUAGGCGGAUUGAGAGAUUGACCGCCAACACUGGGACUGAGACACUGCCCAGACUUCUACGGAAGGCUGCAGUCGAGAAUCUUUCGCAAUGGACGAAAGUCUGACGAAGCGACGCCGCGUGUGUGAUGAAGGCUCUAGGGUUGUAAAGCACUUUCGCUUGGGAAUAAGAGAGAUUGGCUAAUAUCCAAUCGAUUUGAGCGUACCAGGUAAAGAAGCACCGGCUAACUCCGUGCCAGCAGCUGCGGUAAUACGGAGGGUGCUAGCGUUAAUCGGAUUUAUUGGGCGUAAAGGGCGUGUAGGCGGAAAGGAAAGUUAGAUGUUAAAUCUUGGGGCUCAACCUCAAGCCAGCAUCUAAUACUAUCUUUCUAGAGGGUAGGUGGAGAAAAGGGAAUUCCACGUGUAGCGGUGAAAUGCGUAGAUAUGUGGAAGAACACCAGUGGCGAAGGCGCUUUUCUAAUUUACACCUGACGCUAAGGCGCGAAAGCAAGGGGAGCAAACAGGAUUAGAUACCCUGGUAGUCCUUGCCGUAAACGAUGCAUACUUGAUGUGGAUAGUCUCAACCCUAUCCGUGUCGUAGCUAACGCGUUAAGUAUGCCGCCUGAGGAGUACACUCGCAAGGGUGAAACUCAAAAGAAUUGACGGGGGCCCGCACAAGCAGUGGAGCAUGUGGUUUAAUUCGAUGCAACGCGAAGAACCUUACCUGGGCUUGACAUGUAUUUGACCGCGGCAGAAAUGUCGUUUUCCGCAAGGACAGAUACACAGGUGCUGCAUGGCUGUCGUCAGCUCGUGCCGUGAGGUGUUGGGUUAAGUCCCGCAACGAGCGCAACCCUUAUCGUUAGUUGCCAACACUUAGGGUGGGAACUCUAACGAGACUGCCUGGGUUAACCAGGAGGAAGGCGAGGAUGACGUCAAGUCAGCAUGGCCCUUAUGCCCAGGGCUACACACGUGCUACAAUGGCCAGUACAGAAGGUAGCAAUAUCGUGAGAUGGAGCAAAUCCUCAAAGCUGGCCCCAGUUCGGAUUGUAGUCUGCAACUCGACUACAUGAAGUCGGAAUUGCUAGUAAUGGCGUGUCAGCUAUAACGCCGUGAAUACGUUCCCGGGCCUUGUACACACCGCCCGUCACAUCAUGGGAGUUGGUUUUGCCUUAAGUCGUUGACUCAACCUGUAAAGGAGAGAGGC
RNAcentral lists this ribosomal RNA (1395 nucleotides) under uncultured Chlamydia sp. Its description in RNAcentral is "bacterial SSU rRNA". It matches the Rfam family "Bacterial small subunit ribosomal RNA", at positions 80 to 1454 of the family's 1533-position model. The record is from RNAcentral. Lineage: Bacteria; Pseudomonadati; Chlamydiota; Chlamydiia; Chlamydiales; Chlamydiaceae.